RNAcentral lists this transfer RNA (73 nucleotides) under Thelonectria olida. It matches the Rfam family "tRNA". Rfam says of the family: Transfer RNA (tRNA) molecules are approximately 80 nucleotides in length. Their secondary structure includes four short double-helical elements and three loops (D, anti-codon, and T loops). Lineage: Eukaryota; Fungi; Ascomycota; Sordariomycetes; Hypocreales; Nectriaceae. The record is from Rfam by way of RNAcentral.
GCGGGUUUAGCUCAGUUGGGAGAGCGUCAGACUGAAGAUCUGAAGGUCAUGUGUUCAAUCCACAUAAACCGCA